Molecule: non-coding RNA, 530 nt
Organism: Pelobates cultripes (western spadefoot toad)
Lineage: Eukaryota; Metazoa; Chordata; Amphibia; Anura; Pelobatidae
Source: the annotation of a GenBank genome assembly
CUCCUACAUCUCGCAGCAGCAAGAUUUCUAAAAGCCAGCAGCAAGUGCCAUCCCCAGGUCAUAGAGACCCACUGGGAAAUCUCUCUGUAUCCUUGUGGGCUCAGAAUGACCAGCGGGUGGAAGGAGCUGGGUGCUCCAUCUUCAUGCAGGUCACACGAACCUUGCGCCCCCCGGCCGUUGCACCCUUAGGCGGCUGCCUGUGCCGCCUUAUGGUAUCGCCGGCCCUGCUAAUCGCAACUAUUAUUUGAGAAAUGUCACCCAUAGAUUUUUCAAAAGGAACUCUUUGCCCAACUAAUGGUGACAUAUAUAUUAAUGCUUCCUAAACACACAGACGCACGAGAGGUACACAAUCUCACUGAUUUGAAACACACACACACUGACAGACACACACACAUACAAACUCACGCACUCACUGACAGAAACAUUCACACAAUCUCACUGAUUUGUUACACACACUGACAGACACAGACACACUGACAGAAACACACACACACUCUAAAUGACAGACACACAAUCUCACGCUCACUGAC